This 74-nucleotide transfer RNA is filed under the name Candidatus Kerfeldbacteria bacterium CG_4_9_14_3_um_filter_45_8. Its description in RNAcentral is "tRNA-Ile". It matches the Rfam family "tRNA". From Rfam's summary of the family: Transfer RNA (tRNA) molecules are approximately 80 nucleotides in length. The record is from RNAcentral. Lineage: Bacteria; Candidatus Kerfeldiibacteriota. RNAcentral also lists the same sequence under 1 other name.
GGGCAUGUAGCUCAGCUGGUUAGAGCACUACACUGAUAAUGUAGAGGUCCCUGGUUCGAGUCCAGGCAUGCCCA